RNAcentral lists this ribosomal RNA (989 nucleotides) under uncultured archaeon. RNAcentral's name for it is "bacterial SSU rRNA". It matches the Rfam family "Archaeal small subunit ribosomal RNA", at positions 1 to 999 of the family's 1478-position model. The record is from RNAcentral.
UCCGGUUGAUCCUGCCGGACCUGACUGCUAUCGGAUUGGUACUAAGCCAUGCGAGUCAUUGUAGCAAUACAAGGCGGACGGCUCAGUAACACGUAGUCAACCUAACUCGUGGACGUGGAUAACCUCGGGAAACUGAGAAUAAACCACGAUAGAUCAUAGUGCCUGGAAUGGCUUAUGGUCCAAACAGUUUACUGCCAUGGGAUGGGACUGCGGCCUAUCAGCUUGUUGGUGAGGUAAUGGCCCACCAAGGCGAUUACAGGCACGGGCUCUGAGAGGAGAAGCCCGGAGAUGGGUACUGAGACACGGACCCAGGCCCUAUGGGGCGCAGCAGGCGAGAAACCUUAGCAAUGUGCGAAAGCACGACUGGGUCAGUCCGAGUGAUUCCUGAUAAAGGAGUCUUUUGCUUGUCCUAAAAGCACAGGUGAAUAAGGGGUGGGCAAGUCUGGUGUCAGCCGCCGCGGUAAUACCAGCACCUCGAGUGGUCAGGACGUUUAUUGGGCCUAAAGCAUCCGUAGCCGGCUUUGCAAGUCUUCGGUUAAAUCCACCUGCUCAACAGAUGGGCCGCUGGAGAUACUACAGAGCUAGGGAGUGGGAGAGGCAGACGGUAUUCAGUGGGUAGGGGUAAAAUCCUCUGAUCCAUUGAGGACCACCAGUGGCGAAGGCGGUCUGCCAGAACACGUUCGACGGUGAGGGAUGAAAGCUGGGGGAGCAAACCGGAUUAGAUACCCGGGUAGUCCCAGCUGUAAACGAUGCAAACUCGGUGAUGCAUUGGCUUAUGGCCAAUGCAGUGCCGCAGGGAAGCCGUUAAGUUUGCCGCCUGGGAAGUACGGACGCAAGUCUGAAACUUAAAGGAAUUGGCGGGGGAGCACCACAAGGGGUGAAGCCUGCGGUUCAAUUGGAGUCAACGCCAGGAAUCUUACCCGGGGAGACAGCAGAAUGAAGGUCAAGCUGAAGACUUUACCAGACAAGCUGAGAGGAGGUGCAUGGCC